This 1803-nucleotide ribosomal RNA is filed under the name Escherichia coli. Its description in RNAcentral is "bacterial LSU rRNA". It matches the Rfam family "Bacterial large subunit ribosomal RNA", at positions 1145 to 2925 of the family's 2925-position model. The record is from RNAcentral. Lineage: Bacteria; Pseudomonadati; Pseudomonadota; Gammaproteobacteria; Enterobacterales; Enterobacteriaceae.
CUGGUCGAGUCGGCCUGCGCGGAAGAUGUAACGGGGCUAAACCAUGCACCGAAGCUGCGGCAGCGACGCUUAUGCGUUGUUGGGUAGGGGAGCGUUCUGUAAGCCUGUGAAGGUGGCCUGUGAGGGUUGCUGGAGGUAUCAGAAGUGCGAAUGCUGACAUAAGUAACGAUAAAGCGGGUGAAAAGCCCGCUCGCCGGAAGACCAAGGGUUCCUGUCCAACGUUAAUCGGGGCAGGGUGAGUCGACCCCUAAGGCGAGGCCGAAAGGCGUAGUCGAUGGGAAACAGGUUAAUAUUCCUGUACUUGGUGUUACUGCGAAGGGGGGACGGAGAAGGCUAUGUUGGCCGGGCGACGGUUGUCCCGGUUUAAGCGUGUAGGCUGGUUUUCCAGGCAAAUCCGGAAAAUCAAGGCUGAGGCGUGAUGACGAGGCACUACGGUGCUGAAGCGACAAAUGCCCUGCUUCCAGGAAAAGCCUCUAAGCAUCAGGUAACAUCAAAUCGUACCCCAAACCGACACAGGUGGUCAGGUAGAGAAUACCAAGGCGCUUGAGAGAACUCGGGUGAAGGAACUAGGCAAAAUGGUGCCGUAACUUCGGGAGAAGGCACGCUGAUAUGUAGGUGAAGCGACUUGCUCGUGGAGCUGAAAUCAGUCGAAGAUACCAGCUGGCUGCAACUGUUUAUUAAAAACACAGCACUGUGCAAACACGAAAGUGGACGUAUACGGUGUGACGCCUGCCCGGUGCCGGAAGGUUAAUUGAUGGGGUUAGCGGCAACGCGAAGCUCUUGAUCGAAGCCCCGGUAAACGGCGGCCGUAACUAUAACGGUCCUAAGGUAGCGAAAUUCCUUGUCGGGUAAGUUCCGACCUGCACGAAUGGCGUAAUGAUGGCCAGGCUGUCUCCACCCGAGACUCAGUGAAAUUGAACUCGCUGUGAAGAUGCAGUGUACCCGCGGCAAGACGGAAAGACCCCGUGAACCUUUACUAUAGCUUGACACUGAACAUUGAGCCUUGAUGUGUAGGAUAGGUGGGAGGCUUUGAAGUGUGGACGCCAGUCUGCAUGGAGCCGACCUUGAAAUACCACCCUUUAAUGUUUGAUGUUCUAACGUUGGCCCGUAAUCCGGGUUGCGGACAGUGUCUGGUGGGUAGUUUGACUGGGGCGGUCUCCUCCUAAAGAGUAACGGAGGAGCACGAAGGUUGGCUAAUCCUGGUCGGACAUCAGGAGGUUAGUGCAAUGGCAUAAGCCAGCUUGACUGCGAGCGUGACGGCGCGAGCAGGUGCGAAAGCAGGUCAUAGUGAUCCGGUGGUUCUGAAUGGAAGGGCCAUCGCUCAACGGAUAAAAGGUACUCCGGGGAUAACAGGCUGAUACCGCCCAAGAGUUCAUAUCGACGGCGGUGUUUGGCACCUCGAUGUCGGCUCAUCACAUCCUGGGGCUGAAGUAGGUCCCAAGGGUAUGGCUGUUCGCCAUUUAAAGUGGUACGCGAGCUGGGUUUAGAACGUCGUGAGACAGUUCGGUCCCUAUCUGCCGUGGGCGCUGGAGAACUGAGGGGGGCUGCUCCUAGUACGAGAGGACCGGAGUGGACGCAUCACUGGUGUUCGGGUUGUCAUGCCAAUGGCACUGCCCGGUAGCUAAAUGCGGAAGAGAUAAGUGCUGAAAGCAUCUAAGCACGAAACUUGCCCCGAGAUGAGUUCUCCCUGAGACUUAGAGUCUCCUGAAGGAACGUUGAAGACGACGACGUUGAUAGGCCAGGUGUGUAAGCGCAGCGAUGCGUUGAGCUAACCGGUACUAAUGAACCGUGAGGCUUAACCUU